RNAcentral lists this ribosomal RNA (486 nucleotides) under uncultured bacterium. Its description in RNAcentral is "SSU rRNA". It matches the Rfam family "Bacterial small subunit ribosomal RNA", at positions 26 to 523 of the family's 1533-position model. The record is from RNAcentral.
AGGAUUAACGCUGGCGGCGUGCAUGAAACAUGCAAGUCGAGCGCGGUGUGAUGCGGGGUAACCCAAUUCACAUCUAGCGGCGAACGGGUGAGUAACACGUGAGCAACCUACCUUUGAGUUGGGGAUAGCCCUGGGAAACCAGGAUUAAUACCCGAUGUGGUCACAACAGGACAUCCUGAUGUGAGUAAAGGCGUAAGCCGCUCAAUGACGGGCUCGCGGCCUAUUAGCUUGUUGGUGGGGUAACGGCCUACCAAGGCGAUGAUGGGUAGCUGGUCUGAGAGGACGAUCAGCCACACUGGGACUGAGACACGGCCCAGACUCCUACGGGAGGCAGCAGUUAGGAAUUUUCCGCAAUGGGCGAAAGCCUGACGGAGCAACGCCGCGUGAGUGAUGACGGCCUUAGGGUUGUAAAGCUCUUUCGCUCGGGACGAUAAUGACGGUACCGAGAUAAGAAGCCCGGCUAACUCGUGCCAGCAGCCGCGGUAA